Molecule: long non-coding RNA, 3453 nt
Organism: Lytechinus pictus (painted urchin)
Lineage: Eukaryota; Metazoa; Echinodermata; Echinoidea; Temnopleuroida; Toxopneustidae
Exons: 2
Source: RefSeq, a predicted model, not a curated record
UAAAUUGGAUCAGAUGACCCUACAAAUGAUGCUAAUAAAAUAAUAAAAUAUAUACUUUACAACUAUACCUUAUAAGACCUGCAGCAACAAAUGGCAACAUAAUGUAGCAUAUCUCUAUAUAGCACACAUAACCACUAUCAGCAUAUAUCGAUUAAUGAUAAUUACAAGAGUGGGCUCUUAUACAUCAUUCAUUAUCCCACUCCCCCCUGCCUCUGCUUACCAUAGCUCUAAAUUAUGUGCUCUUGAUAGCAUUUCAAGAGAUAAAUUCAUGCAGGGUAUCCAUUUACCUCACCUGGGUCGAUGGAGGCAAACGUACAUGUAGAUCAAGGCCUUGCGAAAGGAUGUCGGUGCAGAAGCAGGAAUUGAACCCUGAAGCUUGUGAUCCAUAGUCCAGACACAUAACCACUAGCCCACAGCACAUCUACUUACAACUGUUUGACUAAUAGACAAAUUACAUGCCUUGUAUUGACUUAAUUAUUUGAGUACUAAUAUGAAAGGCCAAGUUUUUAAUUGAAAACGCCUCUAGUGAAUUUCUUUACCCAAAUGACUUUAAGUGAAAGUUUGCUUUAUACAUUUUACAUCAAAGUAUUCUUUUGAAUACAGGCCAUGAGCUAUCUGCCACCAGUAUAAAAAAAUAUACUUAAGCAAUUAAAUAGAAGGAAGAAAUUGAUGGCUAGCCAUGGCUAUUACAAGACAUAUACCAUGUGAUCAAACUUUGAAGACAUGUUCAGUAAAUUAUUUAAAAACAAGACCAUAAAUUAAAAAGUAUUUUACAGAUACAUGAGCAGCAUAUCAAAACUCUUUUCAUUGCUAUUGGACCUAACAUCUGCUUUUAGCAGAAAAAAAGAAGAAAAAAAGAAAUAUAUUAUAUCCAUAUUCAUAAAGGUAUGGUAUCUAAAAAAAAAAAAAACUCAUAUAUUAAAUCUACCAUAACACUAUACAUUACCAACAUGAAUUAAACACUUACACAUUAAAACAGUGGAUGAACUUGAAAAGAAAAAGAAUGAUAAUGAGAGUGGAUUUUCUUCAAAAAUGAAGAAAAUUCCCAAUAUGGACAUGGAAUGAUGUAUUUUUCUUAAUACAUAUAGACUAGAAAAUUCCACAGGCAAGAUACUCAUUAAUAAAAUCAUAAAAAUUAUGAAUUCAGAGCUUACAUUUGCUAUAUACAGAAUAGAUGCGAUGGGAUCUUUCUUAGAUUUACACUUGAGAGCUCCAAAACUUAAACAAACUUGACAUUAAACUAGAAAGCUACAACUGAAAUUCAUCAAAAAAUGUAACGGGUGAAACUGCCAAAGUCAAAUCUUUUGAGACCACAAAAAUCUGUUUUAUUUGACUUAUAAGAUGUAAAUAAUAAAUAUUUGCAUAUUCUGGUCUGAAGAAAUGCUUCGACUUUAUACGUGAUUAUUUGACAUGUGGAAAACCAACUUAGAUGUAAGGAGACGCUACUGCAAGCUGAAAAUCAAAAUUUAAAAGUCUGAAAUCAGAUUAAGAUUGAUCUUCCACAUCCAUCAUUGUAUCAUUUCCAUAACAACAUUAGUGUUCAUUAAACAAAGCUCAUUCUUUAAGAUUUUUGGGGGAGGAUACUCAAAAUCAGGGGAAAAAUCACACGGGGCCUGGGGGCAAUUUAGCCCCCAAAAUGCUCAAAGGAUCCCUGGAAACCAAAAAAAGGAGCCCUGGAAAUUCCCCAUUCAUAGCAAGCUUAAAGCGUAUCCGAUGCUGCAGAUUUAGGCAGUAAGUUGUGAAAAGUAGUCCCCAAAAAAGAAAAGAAAAAGUUCUCUCCUGCUCACAAUCUCACAUUGAUAUCAAAGCAUGCCAAUUUUAAUAAUGACAUUUGGAUACUUUGAGACAAUGCAAAUUUGUGUCAUAAGUUUACCAAAAAACAAAAAUACAGAGAAUCUUUAUUACAUUGUUCUGAAAUUGCAAUAUCAUUUUUUCUUCAAAUGUUUAAAAUCAAAAGAUACAAGAUUGCAUGUAUCAUAUUGAUUAAGUAGAAGACAUUUCUGCUCAAAUCAGUUUUGCUUGAAAGACAUAGUAACUUGCAUUAUCAUAUAGCUUACAAUAAAAAUGAAUGCUAAGACCAAAAAAUCUAUCUGCUGCCCUGUUGAGACGACAUGACAAAAUAUUAAUCUUGACAGUGAAUAUACUGGUUAAUCACAAAAGUACUUUUUUUUUAAAUCACCAAAGACAUGUUUAAAUUCAUAGAUAAAAAAUAAUAAUUUGGAUAGUUUCUUUAAUCAUUCUAAACAGAUUCAGAGUACAUCAUACUGCAUGUGGAAUGCUCAGGGCCAUGUUGCAUAAAAGUUACGAUUAUAACUUUGCCAUCCAAUGGUAACUUGUAUGGAAUCCUUGAUUUUGAUUGGUUGAUCAAUGCUACCAUGGUAGUUAGCAUUGGAUGGCAAAGUUACCAUAAUGCAUUUCCAUUCUCAUGUGAAAGGCAAAGUACUCAUCAAUCUGGAAAUGGAUGAAUUAAAUUUCAUGCAAAUUUUCCGAAAAUAGGCAAACAAUAAAUCUAAACAUUGAUAAUUUCAGCUAUAUGCUCCAUGAGCCUUUACGAUACAUAUUCAUUUUAUGCAUAAUUUGCCAUAUACCUCCAGAGAGUUGGACAUGAUACAGAAAACGAGCAUAUCCUUUUGUAAAAAAAUCCAGUGCUUUUGCAGAAAUCACACAUUUGCAUAAAAAGGAGAGUAGAAAAAUGGAUUAUCGUAGAAAAUUGAAAGACAACAAUUGGUGCAAACGUGGUUUGGAAGAAGAGUGCUUGCAUCUGAGAUGAGAUGAGACUAUUUCAAUCUGUUCUGUGAUUGUCAGAAGGCAUGCUAAUCAAUGGACGGAGAUUCGUUUACGUAGAAUGGUACACUUUAAGGAAAAACCAACCCAUGAAAUGAACUUAAAAAAUACAAUUAAAAACCAGAAUUGUGGAAGUUUAUAAAAUCAAGACAAAAUUGCACGAGGAAGGAGAAAGUUAUGGGUGAUUUAACAGGAAUAUAACUACAUGUAUAUGACAGGGGCAUCGCCAGAAACUAAAGUCCAAAUGCAACUUCAGAUUCUUAGAAAGCCCCAUUACACUAUGUAAUUCUCAAAUUGGCACUUAGGUAUUAGGACUACAUGUACUCUCUCUUAUGACAUGUACUCAAUUAUCAGGAAAAUUGUGGGUUUCUCUUGUUGUUUUUUUCUGUUCAGGCAGUUACCAAAAAUAUAUGAAUUAAACAUAGAUAUCAUAUGAUAGACAAAUUAUUCUCAGUGGAACAUUUUUUGUUUGUUUGUUAAAGAUGAUAUUUUAGCCAGUUUACAGACUGGAGAAAAUUCAGAAUUGUCACUACGAGCUACUCUACAUCAUUACCUACAUGUACACUGUAUGUGGCCAAUUUGAAAUCCUCAUAAAUACAUGUAUAGUGAUUGAAACAUAUAAACAAAUGUAAAUGUUUAAUCCAAUUCUUAUUAGGAUUUCACCUUUUG